This 460-nucleotide ribosomal RNA is filed under the name uncultured bacterium. RNAcentral's name for it is "partial 16S ribosomal RNA". It matches the Rfam family "Bacterial small subunit ribosomal RNA", at positions 338 to 795 of the family's 1533-position model. The record is from RNAcentral.
CCUACGGGAGGCAGCAGUGAGGAAUAUUGGUCAAUGGGCGCGAGCCUGAACCAGCCAAGUAGCGUGAAGGAUGACUGCCCUACGGGUUGUACACUUCUUUUAUAAAGGAAUCAAGUGAGGCCCGUGUGCCUUUUUGUAUGUACUUUAUUAAUCAGGCUCGGCUAACUCCGUGCCAGCAGCCGCGGUAAUACGGAGGAUCCGAGCGUUAUCCGGAUUUAGUGGGUUUAAAGGGAGCGUAGAUGGGUUGUUAAGUCAGUUGUGAAAGUUUGCGGCUCAACCGUAAAAUUGCAAUUGAUACUGGCAGUCUUGAGUACAGUUGAGGUAGGCGGAAUGCGUGGUGUAGCGGUGAAAUGCUGAGAUAUCACGAAGAACUCCGAUUGCGAAGGCAGCUUACUAAACUGCCACUGACAUUGAUGCUCGAAAGUGUGGGUAUCAAACAGGAUUAGAUACCCUGGUAGUC